Molecule: ribosomal RNA, 441 nt
Filed under: uncultured bacterium
Lineage: Bacteria
Description: bacterial SSU rRNA
Rfam family: Bacterial small subunit ribosomal RNA
Source: RNAcentral
AACGCGAAGAACCUUACCUGGGCUCGAACGGCUAGUCAACGAUCGUGGAAACACGGUUACUCCGCAAGGGGGUCUAGUCGAGGUGCUGCAUGGCUGUCGUCAGCUCGUGUCGUGAGAUGUUGGGUUAAGUCCCGCAACGAGCGCAACCCUUGUCCUGUGUUGCCAUCAUUCAGUUGGGAACUCGCAGGAGACCGCCAGCGAUAAGCUGGAGGAAGGUGGGGAUGACGUCAAGUCCUCAUGGCCUUUAUGUCCAGGGCUACACACGUGCUACAAUGGCCGGUACAACGCGCCGCUAAGUCGCAAGACGGAGCCAAUCGCAAAAAACCGGUCUCAGUUCGGAUUGCAGGCUGCAACUCGCCUGCAUGAAGCUGGAAUCGCUAGUAAUGGCGGAUCAGAACGCCGCCGUGAAUACGUUCCCGGGCCUUGUACACACCGGUACUA